Molecule: ribosomal RNA, 468 nt
Filed under: uncultured bacterium
Lineage: Bacteria
Description: partial 16S ribosomal RNA
Rfam family: Bacterial small subunit ribosomal RNA
Source: RNAcentral
GACGAACGCUGGCGGCGUGCUUAACACAUGCAAGUCGAACGGAAAGGCCCUGCUUUUUUGGUGUGCUCGAGUGGCGAACGGGUGAGUAACACGUGAGUAACCUGCUCUUGACUUUGGGAUAACUUCAGGAAACUGGGGCUAAUACCGGAUAGGAUCUCCUGCUCCAUGGUGGGGGUUGGAUAGUUUCGGCGGUUGGGGAUGGACUCGCGGCUUAUCAGCUUGUUGGUGGGGUAGUGGCUUACCAAGGCUUUGACGGGUAGCCGGCCUGAGAGGGUGACCGGCCACAUUGGGACUGAGAUACGGCCCAGACUCCUACGGGAGGCAGCAGUGGGGAAUAUUGCACAAUGGGCGGAAGCCUGAUGCAGCAACGCCGCGUGCGGGAUGACGGCCUUCGGGUUGUAAACCGCUUUCGCCUGUGACGAAGCGUGAGUGACGGUAAUGGGUAAAGAAGCACCGGCUAACUACGUG